GCAUCGAGAUCAGACAUGAAGCCUUGAUGUUGAAAGGUCUUUCGAUGAAGACCGAAGAAACUAAAUGCUUUUGCCUUUCGUUUUCUGUUGGAACU
Long non-coding RNA from Telopea speciosissima, 95 nucleotides. RefSeq lists it as uncharacterized. NCBI's taxonomy places the organism in Eukaryota, Viridiplantae, Streptophyta, Magnoliopsida, Proteales, Proteaceae. The transcript has 3 exons. The record is from RefSeq and is a predicted model, not a curated record.